AUUGAACGCUGGCGGCAUGCCUUACACAUGCAAGUCGAACGGCAGCACGGGUGCUUGCACCUGGUGGCGAGUGGCGAACGGGUGAGUAAUACAUCGGAACGUACCUUAUCGUGGGGGAUAACGCAGCGAAAGCUGUGCUAAUACCGCAUACGCCCUGAGGGGGAAAGCGGGGGAUCGCAAGACCUCGCGCGAUUGGAGCGGCCGAUAUCAGAUUAGGUAGUUGGUGGGGUAAAGGCUCACCAAGCCAACGAUCUGUAGCUGGUCUGAGAGGACGACCAGCCACACUGGAACUGAGACACGGUCCAGACUCCUACGGGAGGCAGCAGUGGGGAAUUUUGGACAAUGGACGCAAGUCUGAUCCAGCCAUUCCGCGUGCAGGACGAAGGCCUUCGGGUUGUAAACUGCUUUUGUACAGAACGAAAAGGUCUCUAUUAAUACUAGGGGCUCAUGACGGUACUGUAAGAAUAAGCACCGGCUAACUACGUG
RNAcentral lists this ribosomal RNA (486 nucleotides) under uncultured bacterium. RNAcentral's name for it is "bacterial SSU rRNA". It matches the Rfam family "Bacterial small subunit ribosomal RNA", at positions 30 to 507 of the family's 1533-position model. The record is from RNAcentral.